UCUGGUGGUUAUGCCGGAGGGGCCACACCCGUUCCCAUUCCGAACACGGAAGUUAAGCCCUCCAGGGCCGAUGAUACUAUAGCUGCGAGGCCAUGGGAAAGUAGGACGCCGCCGGAU
Molecule: non-coding RNA, 117 nt
Organism: Nitrospirae bacterium GWB2_47_37
Lineage: Bacteria; Pseudomonadati; Nitrospirota
Source: Rfam